Molecule: ribosomal RNA, 468 nt
Filed under: uncultured bacterium
Lineage: Bacteria
Description: partial 16S ribosomal RNA
Rfam family: Bacterial small subunit ribosomal RNA
Source: RNAcentral
GACGAACGCUGGCGGCGUGCUUAACACAUGCAAGUCGAACGGAAAGGCCCUGCUUUUGUGGGGUGCUCGAGUGGCGAACGGGUGAGUAACACGUGAGUAACCUGCCCUUGACUUUGGGAUAACUUCAGGAAACUGGGGCUAAUACCGGAUAGGAGCUCCUGCUGCAUGGUGGGGGUUGGAAAGUUUCGGCGGUUGGGGAUGGACUCGCGGCUUAUCAGCUUGUUGGUGGGGUAGUGGCUUACCAAGGCUUUGACGGGUAGCCGGCCUGAGAGGGUGACCGGCCACAUUGGGACUGAGAUACGGCCCAGACUCCUACGGGAGGCAGCAGUGGGGAAUAUUGCACAAUGGGCGGAAGCCUGAUGCAGCAACGCCGCGUGCGGGAUGGCGGCCCUCGGGUUGUAAACCGCUUUCGCCUGUGACGAAGCGUGAGUGACGGUAAUGGGUAAAGAAGCACCGGCUAACUACGUG